This is a long non-coding RNA of Thalassophryne amazonica, 150 nucleotides long. RefSeq lists it as uncharacterized. Lineage: Eukaryota; Metazoa; Chordata; Actinopteri; Batrachoidiformes; Batrachoididae. The record is from RefSeq and is a predicted model, not a curated record. The transcript has 3 exons.
UUUGUUUGUUGUUGUUGUUUUUUUUUUUAAAUCAUUAUUUAUUUAUACAUAAGUAUGCACAGUUAUCAAAAUACAGACAAAAAUCAACCCAGAAAAUCCAGACAAUCCUAAAAUCUAGUGGAGGAGCAGAUCGCAGUUCUGGAGGUCUUU